This 67-nucleotide transfer RNA is filed under the name Daphnia galeata. It matches the Rfam family "tRNA". Rfam says of the family: Transfer RNA (tRNA) molecules are approximately 80 nucleotides in length. Their secondary structure includes four short double-helical elements and three loops (D, anti-codon, and T loops). Lineage: Eukaryota; Metazoa; Arthropoda; Branchiopoda; Diplostraca; Daphniidae. The record is from Rfam by way of RNAcentral.
GCCUGGCUAGCUCAGUCGGUAGAGCAUGAGACUCUUAGGGUCGGGGGUUCGAGGCCCCCGUUGGGUG